GGGGUUGUGGCGCAGUGGUAGCGCGUCCGCUUUGCAAGUUCAACCAUGUCGUCGAUGUGGUUGAAAUACAUGUAUUUGCGGAAGGUCCUCGGAUCGUUCCCGAGCUGCUCCA
Zasmidium cellare ATCC 36951 is the source of this 112-nucleotide non-coding RNA. Lineage: Eukaryota; Fungi; Ascomycota; Dothideomycetes; Mycosphaerellales; Mycosphaerellaceae. The record is from the annotation of a RefSeq genome assembly.